UCAGAUAUUUUCAAUUUGAUAUAGCUCGGACGAAUAAUCUAAUACAUAGAAAAGAAAUAUAUAUAUAUUAUGAAAUAUAUUAAAGAUAUAAUAAUAUAUAUAUAUUAAAGAAAUAAUAAGGGGAAAAUACGAAUUUAUUGGUGUUUUCAUUCGAUCAUUAUAGACAUUUUUUUAGAUCUUUUUUUAUUUGUUAAUAAUUUGAGGAUUCCUAUUUCUCUAAGGAGAACAUAAAGUCAUAGCAAAUAAAAUUGCCAAUUUUGAGUAGAAAAAAAAUGAAUAUCAAGCGUUAUAGUAUGAUUUUUAAUACUCUAAAAAAGUAAGAUGAGCGGUGGGGGAGAGAAAAUUUUUGGGAUAUAUUGAUUCGGAUUGAAUUGCAAAUACAGCAACGAUAGAAUCAAUGCAAUUCUGAAUUGCAAUAAACAAGCGUGGUCUCUCAAAUAGAAUCGAACUGCUAGAUGACGUCGAGUGAUGAAUUCAACGAUUCCAAAAAAAACUAAGAGAUGGAUGAAAUUACGCAAGGAAUCCAGGUCUCAAAAAAAAAAAGGAAAAUGGGGAUAUGGCGAAAUCGGUAGACGCUACGGACUUGAUUGUAUUGAGCCUUAGUAUGGAAACCUGCUAAGUGUUAACUUCCAAAUUCAGAGAAACCCUGGAAUUAAAAAAGGGCAAUCCUGAGCCAAAUCCGUGUUUUGAGAAAACAAGGGGUUCUCGAACUAGAAUCCAAAGGAAAAGGAUAGGUGCAGAGACUCAAUGGAAGCUGUUCUAACGAAUCGAGUUAAUUUAUUUAGGUUCUUUUGGUAGUGGAAAUCCUUUUAAAUUAGAGAAAGAAGGGAUUUUUACAUCUAAUAAACACGUAUAGAUACUAACAUAGUAAACGAUUAAUCACAGAAUCCAAGUAUAACAUAGGUUCUUUAUUCUUUUUUAGAAUGAAAUUAGGAAGGAUUAUGAAAUAAAAAAUUAAUAAAUUUUUUAGAAUUAUUGUGAAUCCAUUCUAAUUGAAUCUUGAGUAAUCAAAUCCUUCAAUUCAAAGUACUUGAGAUCUUUUAAAAAGUGGAUUAAUCGGACGAGGACAAAGAGAGAGUCCCAUUCUACAUGUCAAUACUGACAACAAUGAAAUUUCGAGUAAAAGGAAAAUCCGUCGACUUUAUAAGUUGUGAGGGUUCAAGUCCCUCUAUCCCCAUAUCCUUUUUAUUCCCCAACUAUCCUCUUUUAUUCCCUAACUUUUAUCCUCUUUUUUUCUUUUUAUCAAUGGGUUUAAGAUUCAUUAGCUUUCUCAUUCUACUCUUUCACAAAGGAGUGCGAAGAGAACUCAAUGGAUCUUAUCCUAUUCAUUGAAUAGAUUUCUUUUUUAUUAGAGUAUCCGCAAGGACUCUCGGUUAUUAACUCUAUUUUUAAGUAUUAUUAAGUAAUCCAUGCACAAUGCAUAGGACCACCCCCCCCCCCAUUUUUCAAUUUGGAAUUUGAAAUACUUUGAUUGAUUUUUGAGUCCCUUUAAUUGACAUAGAUACAAAUACUCUACUAGGAUGAUGCACAAGCCUUGGCCACGGCUGAUCUAGCCGUUGUGACCCGUUGGAUAAACUGAAUUGAGCCUCCAGCUCACACUUUAUCACUUCGUCUCACAACGGUUAGAUUAGGUAGUCAAGCACGAAAGCGACAGAUUUUCAAACACAUUUGAACCCAGAGGAAGGCUUCACGUGGAAGUUUCUGUGAAGCCUGAAAUGCUUCAUUCUUCACUCCGACGGAAAACACACAUUGAAAGAGGUUUUUGCCUAAGCUGAACAUGAAGAAUAAGGUUUCACCUAAACUAGCUCCACACUUCAAACCCCCCUUCAUAGUACUGCGUUCCUAUACUCAAGUGAAAGAAAAACUACGGAAAGACCUAUGAAGAAUGCUAUGCUUCACGUUCUUCACCGUUCUUCACUGAGUUCUUCAUACUUCACGCCAGUACCUGUACUUCAAUUUUUAGGGGUCAUCGAUGCUGGUUAAACCAAUUCUUUCGAGGAACUAAAACCGGAAACACUCAGUGUAACUCAUUAGUUCCUCAACCAUGUUGUCAUCAUUCAUCAAAACCCAUACAGGGGCAAGGUUUCCCUUUCAAAUGGUGUUUUUUGAUGAUCGCAUGGUUGUUCCUAAUAAUCAAGACAGAAGAGAGUCUAUUCUCAAAGAAGCCCAUGACACACCUUUUGCUAUCCAUCCCGGUUCUACCAAGAUGUAUCAAGACAUCAGAAAGAGCUAUUGGUGGACUGGAAUGAAAGAGCACAUUGCUAGAUAUGUGUCUGAAUGUGAUGUAUGUCGCCGUGUUAAGGCAGAGCAUCAGAAGCCUGCUGGUCUUCUUCAACCUCUUAGUGUUCCAACAUGGAAAUGGGAGAAGAUUGAGAUGGACUUCAUCACUGGGUUUCCAAAAUCUCGCAAGGGCAAUGAUGCAAUCUUUGUGGUGAUUGAUCGACUUUCUAAAGUUGCUCAUUUUUUGCCUGUCAAGGAAACAAUCUCAGCUAGUCAAUUGGCUGAAUUGUACACUACCAGAAUUGUCUCUCUGCAUGGUGUCCCAGUUGAAAUAAGCUCCGAUCAUGGAAGUAUCUUUACAUCCAGAUUUUGGGAAAGCUUUCAGAAGGCAGUGGGCACUAAUCUCCUUUUCAGCACCGCUUUUCAUCCUCAAACUAGUGGUCAAGUUGAAAGGGUAAAUCAGGUCCUUGAAGACAUGCUUCGAGCUUGUGUCAUACCUUUUGGUAUGAAAUGGGAGGAAUCUCUGCCGUUUCCGGAGUUCUCUUACAACAACAGCUAUCAAGCAAAUCUGGGCAUGGCGCCAUUAACUUUCCUCUAUGGUUGUAAAUGUCGCACUCCCUUGAACUGGACCGAGGUAGGUGAACGUCAACUCUUCGGCCCAGAUUUGAUUCAAGAAGCUGAGGAUCAAUGCCGUAUCAUUCGGGGAAAAUCUGUUAGCAGCUCAAUCCCGUCAAAAGAGCUACUAUGAUAACAAACACCAAGAGGUGGUGUAUGCUCCCGGUGAUCAGGCGUAUCUUCGUGUCACUCCGAUGCGAGGUACACAUCGUUUCAAUGUGAAAGGCAAGCUUGCACCUCGUUACAUUGGCCCCUUCAAGGUGAUUGCAAGGCAAGGCGAGGUAGCUUAUCGCCUCGAGCUUCCUCCGAAUCUCACCAAGGUCCAUCCUGUGUUCCAUGUUUCCCAACUCAAACGUUGUUUCAAGGAUCCUGGUCGUGCAGUCGACCAUGAGACCAUCGAGCUCCGCAAAGAUCUCACUUACAAGGAGUGUCCAGUUCGCGUUCUCGAUGUGAAAGAACGUCGCACUCCCAACAAAACUCACAAAUUCUACAAUAUCUUUUGGUCUCAUCACUCUGACAAAGAAGCAACAUGGGAACGUGAAGAUCAGUUGCGCAAGGACUGUCCUACCUUUCUUGCGGAUGCCUGGGAAUCUCGGGACACGAUUCCUUUUAGUGGGAGAGAAUUGUAACAGCCCUAGAGCAACAACUUACAUUUAAGCCCUUGUUGGACCUGUUUGUAAUUUAAUUAAAUGUUGCAUGACAAUUACAUCUGCAUUCAUGCCAUGCCAUGUCUACUUAUUGUGUCACAUGAGUUAAAUUUGCAUCUCAACUUGUAGGUUGAAUUCUUGUUGUUUGAAUUUGCUAAGAAGAUUCAAGUAUGAAUCUUCCCUUCUUGAGUUUGAGUUCCUUUUCCAUAUUUUAUAAAAGAUAGUCAAAUGGAUUUUUCAAUCUUUAAUUCCAUUUGACAUUUUCAAAUACUAGUACUAUAUUUAAACUCUCCUAUUCCUUAGCUCUUCAAAUUGGUAUUUGAAUUUUGAAUCCAAAGUUAUUUGCAAAAGAGAAAACAGGAAAAGGAAAAGGAAAAGAAAAGAAAAAGAACUUACCUGCUUGCCUUCUGCCCGAGUCUGCCCAGCCGCCUCGGCCCCUUCCUUCGCGCGCCAGCCGCUCGGCCCAGCAGCCCAGCAACGCAGCAGCCGCAGCCCAUCUCCUUAGCACGCCGUCCCGCUUUCUGUCUCCCCGCAGCGAAGGCGUAUUCCAGGAAAUGCGCCAUAUCUCACAGGCUUUCUUCCUCCUCACCUUUUCUUCCUCCUGGCCGGUGAGCCCCACGCGCCACGUCCGCCCUCGACAGCGACAGCCACCCCGCCUCGUCUACUUAAGCAGCGCCACGCCCCCUUCUCCUCCCAGCGCAAGGCAAACCCUAGAAGGGUUUCCUCUCCCCCGUUUCUUGCGCCGCCGCCGCUGCUUCUUUCGGGCCGUGGACGCCCCUGCGUCGCGCCGCCGCCACCGGCUGAACCCCGACGCCCCGACCACGUCACCGAGUGCGCCUCUUCUUCCUCCACGCACGGGUGCAAGGAAUCGGAGCGAGAUCGCCUACAUCGACGCCCACAACGACUUCUUCCUCUCCGGCCGCUACCCGUCUCCGACGAAAUACCGGCGAGCACGUCCGUGCAAACCUUGUCAGCUUCCUCUCACGUCACCGGGGUGAGCUCCUCUCUCUCUCGCCUCUGUCCGUGCCUUCUUUCGAGCACCGUAGCGUCGUAGCGCCGCCCGCACGCUCCGGCUUGCUGCCGGCGAGCUUUAGCUCGUCGCGCUGCGCCGCCAUUUGCGUUAUGGUCUGUGAGGUGGCCUUCGUGCCACCUAGGUUUACUUUUUCCGCGCGUUGUUUUCGAGCUAGAUGGUUGCCUCCGCCGCUUGCCGUGGUCGCCGGCAUCCAUGCCUCGCCGUGGCCGCCGCGCGUGCCCCCAAGCCGCCCGCUUGGGUUGAGUUAGGAGGGUUUACGCCCUGCAUCUUGUAAGAUCCGAAUCGCAGCCCACCUGGUUACCUUGCUCAUCCGUUCGCUCUGGUCAGUGACCGCGGUCAGCCAGCUCGGUGCGCCCCGCCUCGUCAGCUUGUCCGGGCCCGCUGUCAGCCGCACAGGUUAGCUGCGCCUGAGUAGCUUUAGAUUGCUGUGUUUUUUUUCCCGUUUUGUUUUAAAAUUCCAGAAAUUGUGUUAAUCUGUUUUAAUUCCUAGUAAAUGCAUGCUAAAUCCAAUUUGGGCAAACCAUAUACGUUUUGGAAACAGAAAAAUGCAAGGAAUUUAACUGUGCAAUUAGAAUUACACUUUGGGGUUUCAAAUUUCAAAUCUGUCCCAGAUUUGAAAUUCAAACGUAUAAACUUGUGUAGUUUCUAAUUUAAAACUAGUAGCUCAUCUGUAAUUAAUGUAAACAUCAAAGUUGAUCCCUGUAACUUGUAGAACACAGUAGCAUACUUGGGUAGGCCAUUUGUUUAUUUUAAAGCAGCUGUUUACCAUGUUCUAAUCACCUAAUGGUUAAUUUUGUUGCUAAAUGGAAUCAUUUCACUUGCAUAUUUUUGCAACAUGUUGUCACAUGCCAUCUCAUGUUGUAUUGUGCAUUGCACCUAUGAAUGGUUACUUAUUUGCGUAUUGUGUGAUUUGGUUCUUUACGAUAGCGACUCCGACUUACUCCGUCGACGAUCCGAGUUACCACACUUCUUCGGAUCCCCUCUCUCGGUGCCCAGCGACCGAGAAUCUGGGCAAGCAGCCAUUCCUUGAUAAUGUUGAUUAUACCCAAUGCCUCUCUCUCAUUCUUGCAUUAAGUUACGUUCUCGGUUAUUGUCACGAUCCCUCUAGAAUUGCAUAGCUUUAGUCAGCUCUACUCAAAUGCCUGUUGUCUUGUUCCUUAUCCUAUUACCAUGUCACAUCUUUGUUAUUGCCCUAGUUGGUCAUUAGAAGUUUGCUUAGCUUGCUAGUCUAGUGUCCUUACUUGGGGUUAUACAAUUGUUACAUCCACAUGCUACUUUCUGUAUUUAAUUGCAAUUAUUAAUCUGUGACAUGUUAUUACCUGCACAAGGCAACGAUGGGAGGACGUGCUAACGCAUUGGUGUUUUGUUCCAUUGGCGCCGACCUAAGGACUGAGUUCUCGUUUUCGCCGACCCAAGAAACUUCGUGCUAACCGCUCAUGGGAGAAUAUAUGGGUUCCCCCUCGGCUUAGUACUCGUUUCAUAGCUCUUCCAGGGGCACAUAGUUCGGGCGUUUCAUUUGGCAUAUCGCAUAUAUACUGGUGUUGUGUUUGGAGAUUUCUUGGUACUUUGCCUACAUAUAGGACCGUGGCACAUGUCUGGAGUGGUCAUUCUGCGGACACUGAACCACUACCAGCUGUUCCCGCAACUCUUGAGUCCGUACGACGCUUUGGCCGGGCUCUCGUUUCGGAUUAGACUCAGUUGGGUGGUUCCCUGGAUUAGUUGUGUGGCUUGGAAACGUCAGGUCGCUCAAUCCUGCCGGCACAUGCUUUUGCGUGUGUUCCAUUCUAGUGGCGUCAAGGGUUGGACGAACGUGUACGGGUAAAUUGGCAACCCUGCAGGGAUAAAUCUUUCUGAAAGCCGUGUCCGCGGUUACGGACCCGUAAUAAUUGUAACUUAAUCAUAGAUUCUGAAAGACUUGGUUGGUCAUUACUUGAUCAUAGAGAACUCAAUCAAAUUAAUUAACUUAAUCUCUUCAACUUGAGUAGUAUAAUGCCUUUAAUCAUGGAUAUGCUUAAAACUGCUUAAGUGUGAGUGCCUUUGGAUCAUUUCCUCACAAGGGGUUGAGGGGGUGAUAAGAAGUUGUGUUUGUUUGGUGUUAGUUGUUAGAAGAUCACCUCACUUGGUAGACGCUUCUUAUCCUCUACUUAGACGAUGUCAUUAGUGAGUCUCUCCAGAUAUUUUGCUGCUGCAUAACCCCACCAUAUUAUCCACCCUUUUUGAGACUUGUUGCAUAUCUAGUUUAGCUCUCCCGUAAGUCUUGCGAGUACCUUGUACUCUGCUUUGCAACGUUGUUUUCUCUAGAGUUUUCGGAGGAACAGGCGGCUGGUUACUUCGUGAAGUUCGACGACGACAGCUUCGACGUUUAGCCAGAAGAUUCCAGAGCAGGGUUCUAUGAACUUGUGGCGGGCUCUCCUUUUUUUUUCAGUUUUAGCCUCUUAGGCAAUAAUUGUAACUUGUCCGUACUCGGGCCUAAUUUGCUUCCGCUGGUGUAAUGAUGUUGUAAUAACUUGGUAUUUUGCUCCUUGUAUGAGCUUGGCUUAAUCUUGAGUCUUAGAGUGAUGUAAUGUUAUCAUUUUUGUAACAUCCUACGGUGAAUACAUUGCGUGUAUGUUGUGAAGUGUUCAUCGUAGGGAGGCACUGGGGAUUGAUUUAUGCGCGAGUUAGCAUUUGGGGCUAAAUUGCAUAAAUUCAGUCUCGGGGUGUCACACGAGUAAAAUACCCGCCACCGAAGACCUACAAACCGUCACUGUAAAUCCCUCCGGCACCACCCGAAUAGUGCGUGGAGUACAGCUGUGGCCGGCGCAGUACCCACGACAUUUCCAGUGGCGGUCUGUGGCCACCGCCACUGGAACCUUUUCCAAUGGCGGUGGUGUCUAACCGCCACUGCUAUAUGUUCAGUGGCGGUGGUUUAUAACCGCCACCGGUACUAUUUAAAUGAAUUAUGUGUAAAAAUAAAUAUUCCCGUAGCACAGAAAUAGCAGGAAUACAGCACAACACAGAAAAUAGCAGGAAUACAGCAACACCGUAUACAUCACCAAAGAAAUAGAAUAGCAGCAAAUAUAUUACAAAGUUCCACACGAGUUAAACAUUCAAGUCACAUGCAUGUAUACAACGUGUUCGAAAGAAUGAGCAACAAAUAAAAGUGUUCCACACAAUUUAACUACUUUUCGCGACAAUGCUGCUGCCGUAGUAAUCCCCACUCGUUUUGAGGACCUCCUUGUUGAGGAUUUCGCCGAUGUCCUUUUGGAUCUCGUACAUGAGAAUUUCUGAGUUGUGCCCUAACUCGGCGUUGGCCAGAAACCAAUUCCUCACUUCUUCGAAGGUCUUCUUCCCCUUCGGCUAGAGGUCGUUGAUGAACUGCUGAAUAGUGUGCGUGCAGUAGUAACCACAGUAGACGGAUCCUUCAGGCAGUUGCUCGCAGGGGAACCUGAAAGUGUGCCUGAGGGGAGCGUCAGGAUUGCGGCUGAAGCCAGGCAUCGCGUACCAUUUCACCGCGUUGCGAUAGGCUGCGUCGAUGACAUAUUUGAUCAGGUCAAAGUCUCGUUGUGAUUCAUUCUCCUUGCGUCGUAGUGGAUAUAAAUAUUUGACCCCUCCAAGAUUGAGGCAGAUGGCGAUUGUCACCCAAUGGCCACUGUUUCACAAAAGGACGCACAUUGUAUUAGCCAAAUAAUAUAACAAGCAAGUCUUCCGACGGAAAAAGAUGUAUAUAUUCACGCGAACUGAAAACAACUUACUGCAGAUGGUACAAUAUCAAUAUAAAACGGCGGUCUUUGUGCUUCAACAUGAAUUGAGUGAGGUAUUCAAUCGCCAACCUUCUACUUUCGGCCAACAAUGGGCUUGGACCAAGCAAAGUGGCAUUGAAGAGAAGGGGGUCGGCGACAGCCAUCCCAUAUUGCUUCACCAUAUAGGCCUCCCUCGUGUAGUGUACACACCACAGUCUUAAUAUGGCGUUGUCGAGGCACUUGCGAUUGAAGAGGUGAAACAAGUCGAGGAAGUCAAUGCCGAAGGUAACGUCGUUUUCCCUCUGGAUUUCCCCUGUAUUGGAGUCGAAGAAGCCAUAAUGCUUUGGCACUUGAACCCUAAUUUCCAGAUUUGUUAGGUCUGCGCCUGAUGAUGCCACGUUCAUGUAUUUCUCAUGGAGCUCUUUCAUCUCCCGUGGCAGGCGAUACAGGUCAUCCAGGGACACCAUCGGUUGUCCGGGGUGGAACAACAAAAUUUGGGAGAAUCGCCUGUCCACGAAAUAAGAUCCAUCAGGCAAUCUAUCUCCAACACGGGGGUGGGUGGGAAUCUUCAGAAUGUCUGGUCGCUCUUCCCAAAUCCCUUCUAUCUGCGGCGCGGUCUUUGGUUGUCUUCUUGUAGAAGACGACUCUUUCCCCUCCUUGGAGGAGCCCUUGCUUGCCUUGCCGCCUGUCCCCCUCUUGUGAAUUUCCUGCGUCUCAGGAAAUCGGAAUUGUCCGGUUUAUGGGGGACCUGCAUCCCAGAUGGGGCACUUGGACGGGGCUCCAACGGGGUCGAUGCUGUUGCGGCUCUCCGAGGCAUGGGUCUUGGUACAGAUGGCUUCGGGGCUUCGGGUUUGGGCGGCGACGGAGGAUUUUGGCCUGCAUCGUCGUCGCUGCACUCCGCGGCAGGUGAGAAUUCUCGUUUUGCGUGCUCGUAGUCCAAAGGACCGGGUGAGGCGCCAAGCGGUGACGGAGACGUCAGGCGCUGGGCGGGUGGAGACAGACUGAGGCGGGGCGACGGAGAUGGAGACGGAGAAGGCUCCGUAGCGAGGACCACCAACCUCCUAGGCCAGAUGACGUAGGAGUUAACGCAAUCCCUUAGGGUCGUCACCUCUUCGUGCGGAGGAUAAGGGACCGGUUCGUUCUCGAAGCCCUUGAGCACGGAGUCCACCUGCACCCUGACCAUGUCGUCUUGCAGGGUCACGUGGUGCACCACGGCCGUACACGGCAUCAGCAACCCGCACGCGCCUAGAGGAUUACCCACCGUCGGCAUGUGUAGCCGGCAUUUGACGUCCUUCUGCGCAUGACAAACAUGGCAGCAUCAUUAAUAGAUUGGAGCAUGAUAGUGGUAUUUCACUAUUUUUCGUACCACACGAAGACGCUUACCGUGAUGUUCUCGUCGGGUGGCCCAAGCGGGUCGAGCUGGCACUCGGUGCUGGAGUAUGAGGUGCUCUUAUUCCCCAGCGGGGAUAGAUCCGGUGUGGGUGGGGUUGGUUGGAUGGGCGUCGGCGGGAAAACACUGUGAUCAAUGAACUUGUUGACGUCACGCUGGUCCCUUGCAUGCCGCAUGAGCUUCCUAAGCUCCUCCCUCGCCAACACCUGGAUCUUCUCAUCUAAUUGCUCAGAGCUCUGUUCUUUGCUGGCCGCCCUUCUGCGUUUCCAGGAACCUUGCUCUUUCGCCAUCUGCCUGCGAAAGGGCCCGGAACCGACACCUCGCAUAUGGCCCCCGUGCUCAUUUCGUUGCAGAGCAUAGCUGAUGGCAUCAUCCCACUGUUGGUUGAUAGACGAGUGGGAGCCAUCGACUCCCACUCUGCCAUUGCACCCUGUAUACAAAAGACAACAUGCUCGGUGUUAAUCUUAUAUGUGAGUAUAAGAAGGCCAACCGAUAAAAGAAGAUGUCAGGACGAGGCCUUAUGAGUGCAGCCUCUUGCUUCUCUGACAUAGGCUCCAGGCCCGCCCACUGAUUUGCGGUCAUGGACGACCGCAUCCAUUUGCUGGAGCGCUCACCGCGAAGCAAAGUUGGGACCCUCGGCUGUAUCCCGGCUUGGUCCAAUGCGGCGUCCUCCUUCGCCCACACCUUCUCCUUUUCGGGGCGUCCACGUCUGCCGAGGCGGUGGUCGAAGGGCCUUUUCUCACAAAGCUCCUUGUACCAUUUUUGGCUGGCCUUGAAUUCAGGGGACCUGACCCACACCUUGAACCUCUCCCAGUCCUCCUCCGAGAUCCCCUUCCAGUGCUUGUUAACCACAGUCUUCCAGUCUUUGCCGAUGAGCUUCCUGUAGUUAUAUUGCCACGUGCUCUGGCCCUUCCUAAUGACUUGGUGCAUCCACCAUUCCAACCGUACACGGAUCUCAUCAUUGGCAGGCACGAACCGCUUCCAUGCCGCGUCGUAACAGUCUUGCUUCACAGCUUCAGAGACGUUGCUCCAUCUUUGAUAGAUCCGAGCGCGUCCCCGUACGAUGGUGUUGCAUGUGUUGGCGAAUUUUUCUGCAGCCUCCACCGGUUCCUCCGGGUAGCUUUCUUUAUUGAGCUUUGUGACAACCCACGACUCCGACGGCACCUUGUUUGCCCCCCGCUUUGACUUUGACUAAGUAGUCGAGGCCGUUGCCUGAGACGUCGCACCCUGGGCUUCUUCCUCGUUAGCUGCUCCUCGAAGGAGCAGCUGCUCCUCGGCUCCUUCAAGGAACAGCUGCUCCUCGGCUUCUUCUUCGCUGUGCUCGAAGCCAUCACUCAUGGCAAUUUCCGAGCCCGAGGAAGAUGCCCCCGCUUCUUCGUGGACUUCUCCCUCCACAACCGGUGGCUGCUCAGGCACCUCUUCAACGCGGGCCUAAGGUUCCUAUCCAACACUUAUAAAACUAAUUUAAAAAAACCAGAAAAUUUCGGCAUAACCUAUGCUGUAAAACAAGAAAAUUUCGGCAUGACCAUUGCUGUAAAACAACAAAUGAGUCUGCCCGAAUUUUAUACCUGCAUAAAAAAAAUUCCCACCCACAUAUACCCCCUCUGCACAAUGGCCGGACCCUUCUCAAUGACCCGGCACGAUGGCCGGGCCCACAUUGCUCAUGUCAACCGACACGAUGGUCGGGAUCACAUGCACCAAUAACAACACCAACAACAACAUAUUUAUCAAAUAAGCAUCAAAUUAUCUUAAGCUACAACAAGUUAACCUAACUAGCAGCAACAUAUACUAAUAAAUGAACAGAAAUAAGCACUUAUAAGUUAUAUAACAACAAAUUAAUCAUUUAAGUAAACUAACAGCAACCCUAAACAACAAGAAAUUUCUGUUCUGCCUAAGAUUAAUCAAAUUAACCCUUAUAAGUUAUAUACUAAACAACAACCCUAAAUAGAAAAUUAAACCUAAACAAACAGCAACCCUAAAACAUCAAAUUAAACCUAAACAACAACCCUAAACAGAAAAAUAAACCUAAACAAACAACCCUAAACAGAAAAUUAAACCUAAACAAACAACUUACCUCGGCAGUGGCAAGGGCGGCGGCAUCCGCGGUCGGGCCGCGGCGGGCGCGGCGGUGGAGGCGGGGUCGGCGGCGGGGGCCGUAACGACGGUGAUCGGGGUCGGGGGGGGGGGGGCAGCCGUGGCCGGUGGAAGCGGCGGCGUCGAGGAGGCCUGGCCGCGCCCCCGGCGAUGCGGUCCGGGCGGCGGCAAGGCAGGGCCGUCGUCCGUUGCGACCCCCCGCCGGAGCUCGGGUCCUGCGACGACAUGGCGGCGGCGGCGGCUCGGGUUAGGGUUUCGGCGGUGUCGGGGAGGCGAGGAGAAGGGCGGCGGCGAGGGAGGCACGAGGGAGGCGAGGGAGAAGGGCGGCGGUGGCGCGAGAUUUUGGUAGGGCUUCACCGUCGGGGAGAGAGAGGAAGCGCUACUAGUCCAAAAUAGACGCGCGCUUCGGAUACAAAAUUUUCGCCAAGUCCGGCUCUGUAAUAUAUAUAGGGAACAUCACCAAUGGCAGGUAUUUAGUGGAUACCCGUCAGGGGUGACCCCUCCUAGGGUUACCGGUGCAGGAGAUCACCGGUGGCAGGGAUUUCCGGAUACCCGCCAUUGGCGGGUAUAUGAAAACCCCGCCACUGGUAAUUGGAACAGGAGUGAGGGUUCACCACAUUCCUGUUCCACGCAUCAGUGGCGGUGAUAUUGUAUAUACCCGCCACUGGUUAAUAUUCUGGCUCUAGUAUUAUAUUCUGUGUCUCGCUGAAAAUUAUAGCACUUGUACUUUCAAGUGUAUAAUAAUUAUUUCUUGUCUCACUAAAGUUUUCAAUGCUAAAUACAUUGUUGAAAAUCAAAUAUUUAUGCUUUUGUAGUGUUUACUGUGGUUAAAAAAUGUUAUAAAUUACAAAAUUGCUCAGAAUGGUCUGAUAUUUGGCAUGGAAGCUUCUCACACAACAAUAUGCCUGCAUAUGAAGUUUGGUGUAUCCAAAUGAAACCCAUAAGAAUACCAUUUUGGGAUCAUCUAGGUAGAUAUCUCUGAUAGCUUCUAAGCCAACAUCCAAAUUGUAACAUUUAAAAAACUUUGAGCUUAAUUUUUUCCAUGUGGCCUCAUUAGACUGAGAGGUGUUCCCAUGCAAAGUUUCAGCUCAUUUCGAUGAAAAUUGAAUUUUAUGGAAUUAAAUUAGCAGAAAAGCCACACAUAAUUACAGAAAUUUGCAUGAAGUACUAUGAAUUAAUGUCGAAAACUUUUAUUGGGAACAAACAUGAUUAUUAUACACCCAAAAGUACAACUGCUAUAUUUUUUGGAAACGCAGAGAAUAUCAUAGGAAUAUAAUAGUGCAUUCUGAAAUUAUUACCAGUGGCGGGUUUAAGGUAAAUUACCGCCCCUGGUGACUGGGACAAGAUUUGGGAAAUCCCCAUGACUUCUAGCACUCACCAGUGGCGGGUUUCCUGUAAAUCACCGCCACUGGUGCCCCCUUCUGGUGGCAGGUUACCUGUACUCACCGCCACUGGUGCUUUAAAACAACGAUGGCGGGUUCCUGUGAUUUCACCGCCACUGGUGGCCUUUUGCGGGCUGCCGCGUGAGGCGAGGUGGGAGUUUAGUCCCACCUUGCUAGUUUAGGUGCGUCCCGACCAGCAUAAAUAGCUUCCUCCCCCUCCUAUUUCAGUUUCCGAAUAAAAUCAAAUGUCUCUCUCCGCCACACCCGCUCGCUUGGCCUAUGGGCCCAGUACCCUAUCUGUGCGCACUAGUGGGCUCGGAUUAUAGCCCCGUGGGCCCGUGCUCUUCUGUCCCAGUAGGUAGUAGGCAGCUCCCGGGUUCGUCGGUCUGGGCCCGAACCCGAAACAGCCUAGUUGACCGGGCGGGCUAAAAAACUUUUUUCCCCUCCUUUUUGUUAGCACGCACCAGUGGCGGGUUUCCUGGGGUCACCGCCACUGGUACGGGCACCAGUGGCGGGUUUCCGGGAACCACCGCCACUGGUACGCGCACCAGUGGCGGGUUUCUUUGGAUCACCACACUGGUGGCCUUCUGCGGGGUGCCACGCGAGGCGAGGUGGGACUACACGCGUUUCGAACGACAUAUAAGGCUUUCUCCCAUCUAUGCAUCAGCUUCCGAAUAUUCCUCUACCCUGUCACCGCCGCUGCUCGCCUAGCCCGUGGGCCUGGUACCUGUAAUGUUCAUUAUGGGUUCGGAUUACAACCCCGUGGACCCAGGUCUGCGCUGGCCUAGUAGGUAGUAGUCUGCUCCCGGGUUCGCCUGGCUGGGCCUGAAUCCGAAAACCUCAGUUGACCCGGGCGGGCUUAAAAACCUUUUUUUUCCUCCUUUGUAAUGAAAAUAACGUGUAAUAAGUUUCAAAAAUAUUCAUUCUAAAAUAAAAUAUGCAUUAUGUAAUUGUUUCUGAAAUCAAAACAAGGAAAUAAAAUAUGAAUUAUGACUAGAAAAAUAUUUCGAACAAAUUUACGGCAUUUGUUUUCAAAUUUGAACAAGUUAAAAUUCAAACCUCGUUAGAAUUCAAAUUACAUUGAAAAUCAUCAAUGAGCAUAAUUUAUCAAAAUUAUACAAAUAGUGAACUAUUGGACAAUCUUGUCUUUUUUCUUUGUUGUCUUCUCUUUCCUCUUAUACGUUUGGACCUCAUCGUGGCUGCUUCUGGGGUAGGCCCCGUCUUGUGUGGGUAAUUUUGUCUUCUUUAUUGUCUGGAUCGUCCGUCUUGCCACCUCUUCUUCUUGCCUGGUCGUGGGAUCGGGGAAACCUUCAUAGUCUUGUUGUGAAGUUACUCCAUCAACCCCAACAAUGCUCAUUUUGCCUCUCCUCACGACUACGCGGUUUUUCGCUAUCGGGUCUUCUAUGAACAAGACUUGUUUGCAUUUGGAAGCAAACUAUCAUUGUUCAAGCAGUGCCGAGAUUCUUUUGACGUUCACCUGAUGACGGGGAACCUCAUUUGGCAAAAUCAUUGUUGUGAACCUAUGAUCUUCAUGCCUGACAUCGCAUGCCCAUCUGAUGCGAAACAUGGCGAUGGUGGUGAAGGUGUAGUCAAGCUCCCAGAUCUCUUCGACCACGUCGUAGUACGCUUUAGUCUGGCCUUCGCUGUCGGUCCCGAUCUCAGCUACGAGCACUAUACCGCUGUUUUGGUACGUACUCUUACGGUCUUGAGCCUUGGUGUAGUACGUAUACCCAUUCAUUGUAUAGGACUGGUAUGUCACGACGUUGCGGUUGGGAAGCCGUGACAACUUCUGGACAAUCUUCUCAUCUUCAUUCGUCGCAGCCCUCGGAUACCAAAGAUCCUUCAGCCACAUGGCGAAUGUAGAAUUGUGUUUUCGCUGGAUCCAAUCAUCAUUCUUGUUAGGGUUGAGGUUUCGAAAUUCUUCGAUGUGCAUGUCCAUGAACGGCUCGACCUCUGGCGUGAGUUGCAGCACCAUAUUGUGUGCUCAUAUAAAGUCGUCCAUUCUUUGGCAGGCAUGCACAUCAAGAUCCUUCCGGGCAAGCCCACCUUCGGAACUUAAUUUGAAAGCCAUAUUUCGACCCGGACGCUUUUGGGAUGCUUCUAAUAACCAACGAAUGGCAAGUGCUCUUCCUUGUUUAGAUCCUAUUUCAAUCGGAACUUUCCGCGUCGAUCCUUUUUUAUUACGUCUUGUUUUUACUCCUAUAUUGGGAGUUACUCUACGUAUUGCUUGACGUAAAACCAAUACACCUUCUAGCUUCCCCUUAUGUCUUGAUUCGGGGACCCCUAUGGGUUUGCGGUCCGCCAACCAAUCAGUGCAGAACUCAAUGCACUCUUCUGCAUGAUAGCCUUCCAUGAUGCUUCCUUCAGGACGCCCUCUGUUACGAACAUAUCGCUUCAGCACGCCUUUGUAUCGUUCGGUCCCAAACAUGUUGUCCAGGAACGAUGGCCCUAACAACAAGAUCUCAUCGGCGACGGGGACCAUCAGAUGGACCAUAAUGUCGAAGAACAUUGGGGGAAAGAACAUCUCACAUUCGCACAAUAUCUGUAUCAUUGCGUCCCUCAGUUGCAGGCAACAGUCCACCGUGAUCGACUUCUGGCCGAUCAUGUCGAAGAAGUCACAGAGCUUCAUGACCGUCUCUCUCAUCAUGGCUCCGUGCAGCCUCUUAUUGCAACCGGAAGUAACUGCGUGAGAAUCACGUGGCAGUCAUGAGACUUCAUGCCAACCAGCUUGUGGCUCUUCAUGUCAACGAGUUUCUUGAUGCUGGAUGAGUAGUUCGAUGGAACUUUGAUGCCAUGGAGACACUUGCACAUUCUAUGCAGCUCGGCUUUGCUCAGACUGUAACACGCAGGUUUGCAUCGCGUAUAUAUCGUGCGCUCACCAUUCUUGUUUUCCUGCGGCGCCUCUUCCUCUAUCGGCCACAGCUUCUCCCUUAUCCCCAUCCACUGCAGGUCCUUCCGUGCCUUUGGUCCAUCUUUUGACUUGUCUGCGUGGUGCAUCAUCAAGCACAACAGGCUGUCGCACAUGUUCUUCUCGACAUGCAUGACGUCUAUGGUGUGACGGCUUUGUAAGAACCUCCAGUAAGGCAGGUCCUAGAACACGGACCUCCUCUUGUACGUAAGGCCGCCAUCUGGACCAGCAGCCGGCUGUGCUUUCCCGGCCACGACUUCGAGGUCCCUGACAAUUUCGUAUACUUCGUGUCUAGUCAGUUCCCUCGGUUUGUGCCGCCUCUCUGCCCUUCCGUUGAAUUUUUUCUUAUCAUCCCUCCACGGGUCCUUCAUCUCCAGCCCCUUACGGUGUCCCAUGUACACAAUCUUUUUUAAUUCUGGCAGGAACAUCCCUUCUGUCUUGUCCCCGCACUUUGUACACGCUUUGUAACCAUGUGUUGACUGACACGAUGAGUUCCCGUUCGCCGGGUAGCCAUGCACACAUGUCAGAAGAGCUGCUCGAAGGGUGAACUCCUCCUUCUUAUGAGCGUCCCAAACCUUUCGACGCUUCUCCCAAAGCUCCUUGAGCUCAUCCUUCAGCAACUCCAGAUACACGUUCAGAUCAGCUCCAGGCUGCUUAGGACCUUGUAUGAGCAUUGAUAGGUGGAUGUACUUCCUCUUCAUGACAAGUCACGGGGGGAGGUUUUAUAUGAAUAGGAUCACCGGCCAUGUGCUGUGUUUGCUGCUCAAGUUUCCGAACGAAUUGAUCCCGUCCGUACUUAUCCCGAACCUGAUGUUCCUGGCCUCUGUGCCGAACUCGGGGAAUUUGUCGUCCAGAGUCCUCCAUUGAGUCGCAUCUGCGGGGUGUCUGAGGACUCCAUCAUCGUUGCGGUACACGCCCUCGGGAUCGAUAUCCGCCUGAGUCGCGUCGUGUUAGAUGAACCACCUGGCAUCCUUCUUGUUCUGGAACCAACGCUCCAGCCUGGUGCCACACGGGAGAUACCAGAUCGUCUUUGCCGCCGGACCACGCUUCACUUCUUCCUCCUCGCCGCUGUCAGGAUUGGGGUCUUUUUCCUGUAUCGGGAUGUUUUGCAUACUGGACAGCUGUGCAUGUCUUUGUAGUCGCCCUUAUAUAUGAUGCAGUUCAGCGGACAAGCAUGGUAUCUGAUGACCUCUAACCCGAGGGGGCAUGUAACUUUCUUCGCCUCGUACGUGCUCUUAGGCAACUUGUUGCCGGAGGAAGUACCGUAUGUAGGUAACUCAGAAUCUUCGUGAAUCCCGAGUGCACGAUGUUGUAUUUUGCCUUUAUAUGCAAAAGCUCGAGCAUUACUUCUAGCACACUGUUAUCCAACCCGGCAUUUUCAUAUAACGGUGUCUCGGCAUCCUCCCUCGGCUUCUCGAACUUACGGGACAUCCUCUCAUCCUCGGUUCAUCCAACUGAUUCUGCAGAUGCUGAUCGUCCAGCAUUUCAACCAUCCUACCGGUUGGAACGUCCCGUGGAUCCUCGCCACGGUAUGCUUCUUCACCAGGCUGGUCGUCAGACUCCAUGUUUUCCAUCUCAAUGCCGUCAUCGACUUCAAUGCCAUCCUCCUCGUGAGAAGUCCACCUUGAAUAAUCAGGCACAAAUCCCCGCAUGAGCAAGUGCAUCUCGACAUCCUUUGGCUCGUACAGCUUGCUGUUCCGACAUCUCACACAGGGACAACACAUCUUAUCACCCUUUUCCUAUGCAUAUCUUCCACGCCGGCAUCGACAAGAGUCUUUAGCCGCUCUAACCCGUCCUCGUACAUCCAAGCACGGCCCAUCGAGCUACAACACAAUUAAAAAAACGAAUCAGCUUGAUCGACAAAAAUGAAAUUUUUUGGCAUGACUUUUGCUAAAAAAUAGCAUUUUGCACUAUGAAAUUCGAUGCCUGCAUUAAAACAAAUUACCACCACCCACAUGAAAACCACCCACAUCGACACAACGGCCGGUAUCACAUCACAUAUGAAAUGCACAGCACGAAGGCCGAUGUCAACACACAUUUAAUAUGAUUCAAACAUGCACGUACACCGGUCCCGAGGUUAAGCUUAACCCUAGGGCUAACCCCCAGGGGCUAUGCUCCCACAUAAGCAGCAACGGCCAUGAACUCUAGAGAGAGAGAGCUACAGAGAGAGAGCUAGAGAGAGAGAGAGCUCAUGGGAGCAAAUUAAAGCCAUAGAGAGGGCAAUCCAGGGGGGAAGGCAGAGCUAUGCUGCGGGGAGCCACGGAUAGAGCGGGGGCAGACCGAGGGAGCCGCUAUAGAGAGAUCGGGGCCAAAUUUCCCGCCAGCGGCCACAGCGCCAUUAAUGGCGAAAUUGCCAAAUUGGAGAAGAAUAGGAGGAGGAAGAAAAGAGAGGAAGAGGGAGGAGAAGGGGGGAGAGCUACCUGCCGGCCGCUGCCAUCAAUUUUGGCGCGAGUCAGGAGAGAGCCACAACUAGUCCAGACAGACGCGCGAGGUCGACCAGCUGCGGCCUCGCACAUUAGUUAUAUAUAGGAAGGGAACCAGUGGCAGGUGUAUGGCUAAACCGCCACUGGCGAUUUACAGUGGCGGGCGGAAAAAUAAACCGUCACUGGAGGGGUCAGUAGAGGCGGGUUAAAGGAGGCCCACCACUGGUGCUCUCCCACCAGCUUCCCCGCUUUAGUCCCACCUCGCUAGUUUACAUGAGUUCCGACCAGCAUAAAAAGGAUUCCGCCGUCCCACUUACCGGUGGUUACUACUCAGUGCUCAGUGCGUUUCCCGUUCCGGUUGAGUACUAAACUAAUGAUCGGGUGGUGCUUAAGGGGUUCAGGGAUGGUCAUUGAGACUGAGUAGUACCAUCAUGUAUUGAGUGGUCUACCAGUGGCGGUUCUUUUUUACGGCCGCCACUGGUGGUUGUUAGGGUUUCUAUGGCCAUGUCCAGUGGCGGUGACAAACACCGCCACUGGUGCGGUGACUUGUUUCGGGACAAUAUUCACCGCCACUGGUGGCGCUCGUGGAUGCCUCGAGAAGUCUCCAGUGGCAGUGUGUUUUUUGGUCCGUUUUAACCGCCACUGUAAGAGAUCACGGAUGGGGUUUUCUGUAGUAGUGUAUUCAGAAACAUAUCCCGGGUACACCAUAUGAUUAUUACGCUAAUGUUGCAUGACUGGUUUAGCAAAAUAAACUGAACCUUAACCCAAAUGACGCAAGUGGUCACUACACCAGAAAGUAAAGAACUAUUCAGAUGUAUAUAUAUAUAUACCAAAGUCUAAAAAUCAAUGCAGAAAAGGAUUUGCAAAUAAGUCACUAAAUUUUACACUUAAACAGAGAAAUCUAAGUGCACAGGCAACCUACAAGUUACACGACAGUAGAUUUGUCAGAAAAUCGAGUGUGCCAGCGCUACUAUUUCUACUUCGUUGUACUAUUAUUCAAGCAAGAACCUUCGCAUACCCGACUACUGGUUUUUCUAGUAAUUGCAUAAUAUUGCUUCUUGCUCCAUACACUGCAUGGAUUAUGUGAUACGUUAUAGCUAUAGCACUAAAUACAUUAUUAAAUAUUAGUAUAUUCGGACAUUUACUUGAUGAUCUAGGGCAAGGCCGUGAGAGGCAGCCAUUGCCCGAUCCCUUGUUCUUGUGCGUGUUCCUGUGAGUUGUGAGCCCUGGUUCUUGUGCGUGUUCUUGUGAGUUGUGAGAGGCAACUCCAACAAACUAAAGACUUACAAUUGGAUUAAUUAAUACCGGAGUUGCUUACACAUAGCCUUGAUCUAUACGCAACUCUUGUUCCACGAUGUUGAUUAGUUUCGUCUGCAAAAUACAAUCCUGCAGAUAAAUCUUGAGAUGAUACGCUAUACUACUAUUGCGCAAUACAACCCGAAAUGGGGCGUGGCCAAGUGGUAAGGCAGCGGGUUUUGGUCCCGUUACUCGGAGGUUCGAAUCCUUCCGUCCCAGAUUGUUUCUGAUGAAACAAAAGAUGAAAUCAUAUUGUACUCCGCAUGAGACAAAACUUUACCCUACGGAGGAAAAACAAAUCAAGCAAUUAUUAAGCAAUUAAAUGUUUAAGACGAUCCGCUGUACUACUAUUAUAUAGAGAUUGAUGCAGUCAUGGAAGAAAUAGACACACCUCUUGUUUGUUCCACGAUGCACCAUUACUUGCAGCAGCCCCAAUUGUAUUUUGCCCUCGAUCCCGUCGCGUUUCUGUUCAUUUCAAUCGGUGCUCUGCUGGUGCUUUGCCCUCGCAUCGCAUCGUUUCUGUUCAGAUCGGUGUCCUCUGCUGUCGCCUUCUCCCUCAUACAACAAAGUCUUCUGGAGGUAGACUUUCUUCCCAUGGUUAUGGCAGCAAAAUUUCAGAUUACCUGUUUCUUUUUUAAUCUCAAGUCAUGACCCGUGGAUUGUUGUUACAUGUUUCCGUAGAGAUAGUGUUGAUUGAAGACGCAUGAAAACCUCAUUCUUUUGGGACAUUUUCCUAUCUUCGCAUGCUUCGCUGAACAGCAUUCCACGUGAGUGUAAAUUCUAGAAUUCACACAGAUACAUAGAAUCCUCUCUCCCAGAAAAAGGGCAAAAAGGCGUAGAAUGUGCUUCAAUGGAUAACUGGAUUACCUGAAAGUGUCCUACAUGUGAAGAAGUGUACUAAAACAUAAAUUCAUCAAACUAUAUCAUCUAUAAUUCAUGUACACCUAUUGCAACUGCAAUGACAUGGUAUCAAUUGCUUACCUGAAAGUGUCCUUUUUGGUGAUGACUUUCACUUGUGUGCUUUGGCUCUCCAUAGUUUGUUGUUAGUCUAUCCAAUCAAAAUCAUUAUUGCUGUCACAGCUUUCUGAAUUGGAUGCAUUUCUCCUAGGUGAGGAACCAAAACUUUCAGAUUAAUUAAAAGGAGAGAAGGGACAACAUCUUGGAACAUCUGUGGACAUGCAAAAGAAUUACCGGAAACAUGGGUCGAAUUUAUGACAGUAAGUGCUUGUCACAAGGAGUUCUAGGCAGUCUAAUGUUGGGGGCGGCUUCUGACGGCUGCCAUCAAUGGUGGACAUGGAGAGGAGGGGACAUAGCAGACACCCUACAGAGGCAGAAGGAUUUCAAGGAGGUAAUACAUAAUUUCAGCACCGCUCUCUUGACAUUAUUGAGCAAGGCGAGAUGUAGGAGAUCGAUUCAACCACCGUGCGAAGCAUCACAAUAAGGCAACAGAAACUCUAGAACAUGUCAACUGGAUGACUGACAUAUCUUCUCCACCACUUCAUAUGAAGAUAAAACUUGAUAUAGCACAUCUGUAUGUUGUAGUGAAAUAAUAUUGCUUUACCAAUCUCCUGCAUGUUAUCUAGAUCGAGGUACCUAGAAAUAAUCAUGUGCAAACCUUUAAAAUCCAUUGUGUGGACUAGAAGGAUAUUUUUUCUUCCGUAGGGCUGCAACUCGUUGGUCUAUAACUGAAGAUCGAAUACUUAAUUAUGCUCCCCCACACAGAAUUUGGUUUGCCUAUUAACUCAAACACGUUGUCGGCUUGUCCCAAUAACCUCCGUAGGAGCACUGCUGCAGUAACCAUGACUCCACUCCAUGAGUCCAUGCAUAAUAAUAGCACAACAUCACCUCCAAGCUGCAAGAGCGAUACCUGCACAGGAACACCAGACAGAGAACACCGAGGAUCAGAGAGGAGUUAAUUGUCUACUCGAAUGGAAGCAGAUGGGCAGGGAUCAGAUGAAAUUGACCAUGAUUCUUCUAGCUCUUAGAUGAAGAAUAGGCCACAGAGAAGAGCAACAUGCGUACCUGCAUUAAUUAGGGAGACUCUCGGAGUUGAAGCACUCAGCACUUUUAUUGUAAAAUUUUAAACAUCCAUUGAUUCAGCUCCUUAAUGACCCUUGAGCUGAUCAAGACAUCGGAUAUGUUAUUAGUUUCAUCAGUACAUUAGCUCAUCCACAUAAAACUUGAUAAGGUCACAAUCACCAAUUAAUAUUUACGAAUUUUUGCCAAUACUCCUGUACUGUAUCUUCUAGGAACAAAAUUGUAUUGCUUUGAUAUGUUAUAUCAAUCACUAAUAUGAGAUAAAAUCAGUAAAGCGCCAUCCUUCUUAGUUUUAGAUAGUUCAAACUGAGCUUGGGUGCUGAACAAAUUGAAGAACAAACAAAUUUCGUCCUAAGAAUCACUGUUAUUUUUUUUGCUAAACAGGGUAUCUGCACUAAUUUAACUGUUGUAAAGUAAAAAGGAUCAAAACUGAUGUACUCCAUCUCGACACUUAUUAUGGUCGGAGGUAGUAAUAGAAACAUUGAGAAAGUAAAUAUUGCCAUCAAAAUAAUCAAAAAAUAAAUAGUGCUAUGCCUCAAAGCACCGAUCAGUACCACCGCAUUAGCAUCAAAUCUAUGCAUGUAUUAGCAACUUCCUGAUAAAAACCUCCAGAAUCAAGAAAGUAAUAAUAAUUAGAUAUAGUUAAGAGUUAAGCACGUUACUGAAAAGGGCAUGAGCACCUCGAGGCGAGUGUGGAGAUCACGUGCAACAUCCACCGUCCUGUGGCGCCAUGGGCAUACAGAUUCUUGUGGUGGAUCGACGGGGAAGCGACCUCGAGAGAGCGAAGGCCUGAAGGGUGAAGGCCACGGUACGGAGGAGACUGGGGCGGGUAGGGGCAGCGUUCUAGCCACAGCUGCCAGGGGCCGUACAGGGAGGGGUACGGAGGAGGCUGGGGAGGUGUUUCACGUAAGAGAUCUCUUCACAUAAUGGCAUUGGUUGGUAAUUUUCUUCAAUCCAGAUGUACGGUUGUGAUUGAUUAAUGCACUAAAUCCAUGGCCGGAAGUUUUGCUUUUUUGUGGGAUUUUCUAGCCUCCUCUCUUUUUUAUGGUUGCUCCGCCAUUUACUUUUAAUAUAUAAUAGAUGUUUAUGCCUGACAAAUUUCCAGUCAUGUUUGAUUAAAUGUUAAUAAGUGCCGUGCAUCCUGCUCUUGAAUUGUAUUAACAAUAUGCAUGUGAAGUAUAAAGUGGAGGUUUGCUGCUACUAUCUAUGAGUCAAAUUUAACUUCCACGUCUAAUUAUUUUCUCUCCACAAAGAGUGUUGCUUUACAUGUAUUUGUGGACAUCCGGUUCUACUAUCUAUGUAGUAUAAAUAUGUUCUAAAUGUAUGUAGGGGCUGGCGCUGUAGUUGUGCCACCUCGAAUACUUUGAUUGAGCUUCUAUGGAAAUUUGUGAUCGUUUUUGCGGUAUGAGUUUUUCUUUAUAGUGUUCUUGGCACAGUGCUUCUCCAUUCAAAUUUCACAGUUUCAUACGACAAAAUAGUUUGCUUGAUGUACGAAUAUUCUUUACUUUGUGGUUAUAUCUUGAUCGUAUACUACAAAUGUUUUGGUUUUCAUUACUUUCUCCGAUCCUAAAUUCUUGUCAUUUUUUUAGUUCAAUCUAUUUAUAUAUUAAAAGUACAUGACAGAGCAACCAGAAAAAAA
This 23406-nucleotide long non-coding RNA is filed under the name Brachypodium distachyon (stiff brome). RNAcentral's name for it is "long non-coding RNA (BDIS_LNC003351)". The stretch from base 576 to 829 matches the Rfam family "Group I catalytic intron". The record is from RNAcentral. Lineage: Eukaryota; Viridiplantae; Streptophyta; Magnoliopsida; Poales; Poaceae.